GAUGAACGCUGGCGGCGUGCCUAAUACAUGCAAGUCGAGCGAAAAGACGCGGCGCUUGCUCCUCUCACGUUUGCCGCGGACGGGUGAGUCACACGUGGAUACCCUACCUAUCAUACGGGUAUCACUUCGGGAAACCGGCGAUAACCCCGGAUAAUCUAUUGCACCGCAUGGUUCAAUGGUGAAAGACGGCUUUGGUGUCUCUUAUAGAUGGAUCCGCGCCGCAUUAGCGGGUUGGUAAGGUAACGGCUUAGCAGGGCUACGAGGGGUAGACGAGCGGAGAGGGGGAUCGGCCACACUGGAGCUGGGACACGGUCCAGACUCCUACGGGAGGGAGCAGUAGGGAAUGGGCCGCAAUAGGCGAAAGCCUGGCGGAGCAACGCCGAGUGAGUGAUGGAGGUCUUCGGUGCGUAAAACUCUGUUAUGAGGGAAGAACAAAUGUGUAGGUAACUAUGGACGUCUUGACGGUACCUAAUCAGAAAGCAACGGCUAACUACGUG
RNAcentral lists this ribosomal RNA (497 nucleotides) under uncultured bacterium. RNAcentral's name for it is "partial 16S ribosomal RNA". It matches the Rfam family "Bacterial small subunit ribosomal RNA", at positions 28 to 507 of the family's 1533-position model. The record is from RNAcentral.